CUUCGUCUCGUUUGACAGAG
This 20-nucleotide small nuclear RNA is filed under the name Arabidopsis thaliana (thale cress). RNAcentral's name for it is "snRNA_11315". Lineage: Eukaryota; Viridiplantae; Streptophyta; Magnoliopsida; Brassicales; Brassicaceae. The record is from RNAcentral.